Lathyrus oleraceus (garden pea) is the source of this 1614-nucleotide long non-coding RNA. RefSeq lists it as uncharacterized. NCBI's taxonomy places the organism in Eukaryota, Viridiplantae, Streptophyta, Magnoliopsida, Fabales, Fabaceae. The record is from RefSeq and is a predicted model, not a curated record. The transcript has 4 exons.
UUCUAAGAAAGAACCAAGGUAGGUCCAAAGUGUUGAAUAGAGGAAAGAAGAAUCAUCGCCCAUGAUACCACGCGGAAACACCAACACUCGCACAAUAAAGAAAACGCGAAGUAACUUGCGGCGCCGCGAAUUGCAUCGGUUCACGAAAUCGCGUUUUAGAACUCAUGGAUUGCGGUGAUGUUCAUCUAACCACCCUUUUAAUGGAACCUAAUCUUAAGGCAAUCAAAACGAAAAUGGAAUCGCAACGCAGAACAACGGAAAUAAAAGCGGAUUGCAGUGAGCGAUACUCACCGGAUUGAAGCGACGCGGAGACUUAACCUUAAUUGUCUUCUCUUUGUUUUUCUGCUUCUGUUUCGAGUCUCCUUCUUCUCAAUUUCAACAUCGUCUUUGUCGACUUGGAAUUGCAGAAUCCAUCACCGAAAAUGACCUAUAACCAAAUCGUAUUGGCGCGUGAACCUUCGACGAAAUUAGCUUCGGGCAGGUUGUUAGGAGUUCUAUUAGAGUUAAAUUUGUCAAUUCCGUUAUUGGUUAGUGAAGUAAGUGAAAAUGAAAGACCAAUCUCAGUUAGUUUCAAAUAUAUUAGUUUGUUAUAAGUUAGUUAGGUUGAAGGAUUCAGUUAGUGAAUUGGUUAGUUUAGAAAUCCUGUUAGGAGGAGGUUGUAGGUUAGUUCAAGCUUCUGUUUAUUUAUUAGACUACAAUUUGGAUAUAAAUGAAGUUUGUUGAAAUUAGUUGGGUUUUUUCCUGUUAUGACAUUCUGCAGAUACAAGUUAUUUUUCUGUUAUGUGAGCUGCCAUGUGCUAAGUAUGAAUGAACUUGUUGAUGCAGAAUUACAGUGAACCGGACUAUUCUACAGUUGGUUCUUGCAUUAAGUUUGGCUGGAAACCCAAAGCGAGUUAUUGACCUAUUGGUUACGGGGAUUAGCUUAAUGGCUGUUGCGGAAUGCUAGUUGGAUACGACGAGGUUAUGUUUGGAAUUUCAAAUGCAUGAUUAUUGUCAUGGAUGUUCAAAUAAUGGAUGGUUGUUAAUGCGAGCCAAAUUCUACUAUGCUAAUCUGAUGCAGGGGUUGUUAUCGGAUUAGAUGUAUGGUGCCUUGGUGAUUUAUGGAACCUAAAGCAGGAUACAAUUCAGAAAAUCCAGUAGGGCGGGUGAAAUCAUGAUGCAAAGUGGAAUUUGGCAUGUACUGGAAUUUGCUAGCAUUUGGAAUGGACUUGAAGAAACUUAAAAUGCUAUGAUCAUCAUGCUUGGAAUAGAUUUAGUUGGAGUUUAGUUUUUUUUUGUAUAAAUUAGUGGUUCUUGUGAGUUGUUGAUAAAUUUUAUUGUGAAUAUGAAUGUGUGUUUCUAAUUGAAACAUAAAGGGAUUUUGAAUAGAAAUUGUGGAUGAAAAUAUGAAAUCUUUUGUAAUCUUGGAAUUGAAAUAUGGUUUGUGGUUUGUAAUGGGAUGUUGAUUAAUGGGAAAUUAGUUGUAAUCUUCUUGAAAUGCACUAUUAUGAGCCGUGUUUGGUUCUGAUUUGUAAUUAGAAUUAAUGUUAGUAUAGGAAAAGUGCAUUGUACAUAUGUAUAGUGGGGUAUUCGUUACCUUUAGAUUUAUUGACUAAAUCAAGAGUAAGCAUACAA